RNAcentral lists this ribosomal RNA (538 nucleotides) under uncultured bacterium. Its description in RNAcentral is "partial 16S ribosomal RNA". It matches the Rfam family "Bacterial small subunit ribosomal RNA", at positions 355 to 882 of the family's 1533-position model. The record is from RNAcentral.
UGGGGAAUUUUGGACAAUGGGCGAAAGCCUGAUCCAGCAAUGCCGCGUGUGUGAAGAAGGCCUUCGGGUUGUAAAGCACUUUCAGCGAGGAGGAAGGUGGUGAACUUAAUACGUUCAUCAAUUGACGUUACUCGCAGAAGAAGCACCGGCUAACUCCGUGCCAGCAGCCGCGGUAAUACGGAGGGUGCAAGCGUUAAUCGGAAUUACUGGGCGUAAAGCGCACGCAGGCGGUUUGUUAAGUCAGAUGUGAAAUCCCCGGGCUCAACCUGGGAACUGCAUUUGAAACUGGCAAGCUAGAGUCUCGUAGAGGGGGGUAGAAUUCCAGGUGUAGCGGUGAAAUGCGUAGAGAUCUGGAGGAAUACCGGUGGCGAAGGCGGCCCCCUGGACGAAGACUGACGCUCAGGUGCGAAAGCGUGGGGAGCAAACAGAUUAGAUACCCUGGUAGUCCACGCUGUAAAACGAUGUCGAUUUUGGAGGUUGUGCCCCUUGAGGCGUGGNUUCCGGAGCUAACGCGUUAAAUCGACCGCCUGGGGGAGUA